RNAcentral lists this ribosomal RNA (253 nucleotides) under uncultured bacterium. Its description in RNAcentral is "partial 16S ribosomal RNA". It matches the Rfam family "Bacterial small subunit ribosomal RNA", at positions 524 to 776 of the family's 1533-position model. The record is from RNAcentral.
UACGGAGGGGGCUAGCGUUGCUCGGAAUCACUGGGCGUAAAGCGCACGUAGGCGGUCCAGCAAGUCGGGUGUGAAAGCCCUCGGCUCAACCGAGGAAGUGCAUUCGAAACUACGGGACUUGAAUACUGAAGAGGAUCGCGGAAUUCCCGGUGUAGAGGUGAAAUUCGUAGAUAUCGGGAGGAACACCAGUGGCGAAGGCGGCGAUCUGGGCAGAUAUUGACGCUGAUGUGCGAAAGCGUGGGGAGCAAACAGG